UCUUCUGCUCUCUGAAGUUAAUAUAAGAUUUACAGAAACCUUAAAGCAAAGGCACUCAUGUAAGAAUUAGUUAGUUAGCUGCCACGAACUCUUAGGGAAGUACGUAGUUUUUGCGAGGUUGUCCGCGCUGCGUUCAUUCGUUUUUUAUGUAUGUACCCGUUCGGUAAAGCAAUAUAGAAAUUAGACGAAAUAAUAAAAGUUGAGAGAGCAUUAAAAUUUGUUUGAAAUAAUAUUAAUUAUGUUUUUAUUUCAUUUGGUAAUUUUUCCUUUAGAAUUAGUAAAUAGUAAUCGCUAGAGUCCGAAAAAAAUCAGAAAAAAUAAAAAGAAAAUGUCGCCAAGUAAUAAUCGGAUGCUUUCGUUUUUGCUUUCGGGUAUGACGCUGGUUUAGCAAAUGUACAAUCGUAGAUGCGAAGAACAGAAGUGAUAGAAAUAAGCUAUUUUCGUGAUUGUCUCUGUUAAGAAAGCAUUCAAUAAAAAAAUAUCCAUUUUGCAAACAUAAAAAGUUUUCAUUAUUGUCACCGAGAAGUAUGAACACUGUUCCCAGACAGAUUUAUACUAUGCAAGAUGUUUAAAAAUCGACUUUUUCUUAUUGAUAUUGUAAAAAGGAAUUAAAAUUGAAAAAUUUGCUAAAAUAUCACAAAUGUUUUUAAGCAAAACCACUCAUAUAAGAAUUAUUUAGUUGCCAUAGACUCUUAGGAAUUUUAGCGGGGUCGUCCAUGGAGCGUCCAUUCGUUUUUUCGGAAAAACGAUAUAGAAAUUAGACGAAAUAAAUAAUAAAUGUUAAUAAAACAUUAGAAUUUGCCGAAAAAAAUGGUUAAGUAAUAAUCGGGUGCCUUCGUUUUUACUUUCGUGUAUAUUCAUAGGUUAUCGUAGGUGCGAAGAAGAUAAGUGAUAGAAAUAAACUAUUUCGGUAAGCAAACAUGUAUACGUUCGUGCAAUCAUUUCGAAAGAAUAUUUAGAGCUUCGUUAAAUUAAAUGAAGUAUGCCGGGAUCUCGACGUAUACUAAAGUUACUAUGAAACAAAAAAGGACAGAUAGAUAAUCCCAUGUGACUGCUAUUUCUUUUGCGGAUGUGAGUGAAUUUCUUUUUCAAUUAAAAGCAAAUAAAGCCUAAAUAUCCAAUAGUUCAUUCAUAAUGCACAAACAAACAAACUUAACUUCUUCGCGAUGUUAAGAAACCAUUUUAACAAUAUAAUAAGUAAGUGCGGAAUAGUAAAAUCGGGCUCACGGUCGUGGUAAAGAAAAUAUGGAUUUAUAAAAAAUAAUAAAUAUGUGAAUAGUUCAGCACGGACAUAGACGACCGACCGAAGGACAGCAGCGCAAAAACAAGUUACUCUGUUUGAAGUCCGUUUUGAUAUGCUAGAACCAAUUCAUGAUUUUUAUUGUGUGUAGAAAAAUCCGUUUAGUCUGUGCGGGAUGUGCAUAUACAUGUACGCAAGAACGCUUCCUCAUGCUAACCGUUGUAUUUGAUUAUUACUUUCGAUAUUGGGAAAUGCAAAUGUUGUAACAGAGUCCGAAAGAUAAGUCUUUUUUUAACAUUAUCUGCUCUACGGAGCUUGCUCAAUUCUCUGAUCCGUACUCAAUUGUACAUACCUGUGUGCGACAAACUUCAAAACAUUUACGUGGUCUUUACUUACAUAUUACGUACAGCUUUAAAUAAUUAUAUCGCAAAAUUUCUCAACCAGUGUCGGUAAAAGCUCUCUCUUGGAAAAUCAAGAAAAAUUACUUUAUUAUGGUAAUUUUUGGAAAACUUUUUCGUCGUAUGACAUAACCACAACUCGAGGCUAAAUGACUUUAUAGUAUGUAUGGCUCAUCGCAUCGACUUGAAACCCAGUAAAUGAAUUCACAUUGAAUUCAAGUAAAAUCAAACCGUCAACAAGGAGAAAGAAUCAAUCGGUUGUUGAACUUCAAAAAACCGCUCCGGUAAGUAGAGAAAUUGUUACUGUUAGUGACAUUGUUGAAAUUAGCUUGGUUUACCCUCAUUGCUUUUCACAUUUGCCAAAUGGAGACAAUAAAUAAUUGCCUAUGUGGCAGUAAAGCGUAUCAAAAAUGAAAAAAAAAAA
Glossina fuscipes is the source of this 2062-nucleotide long non-coding RNA. RefSeq lists it as uncharacterized. The transcript is spliced from 3 exons. Lineage: Eukaryota; Metazoa; Arthropoda; Insecta; Diptera; Glossinidae. The record is from RefSeq and is a predicted model, not a curated record.